Molecule: long non-coding RNA, 10335 nt
Filed under: Ananas comosus (pineapple)
Lineage: Eukaryota; Viridiplantae; Streptophyta; Magnoliopsida; Poales; Bromeliaceae
Description: long non-coding RNA (ACOM_LNC012126)
Source: RNAcentral
UGUUAGUCAAUUUGCAUUUGAACUAGAUUUCGGCAGUUCCAACAACCUAGCCGAGUACGAAGCAUUGAUCAUUGGUCUUGAAAUCUUACAAGAAUUGAAGGCUAAGUCAAUCAAAGUCAUCGGUGACUCACAGUUAGUAGUCAGGCAAGUCAAUGGAGAAUACCGAUGCGGAAACCAGAAUUUACAAAAUUAUUUAAGAAAGACAUUAGAAUUACUAUGUGAAUUCAGAGAAACUGAAUUCGAACAUUUGAGCAGACAGAAAAAUGAAAAGGCAAAUGAACUUGCUCAAUCGGCUUCAGGAUAUAGAGAGCCGAAGUUAGAAUCAAUAGUAAUACAGAGGAGGUUGCUACCUUCGAUUCACAUACGAGAACUGAUUAUAGCUCCCAUAGAAAUAAAGGAAGAUUGGAGAGAAUUAUUAAUCAAAUAUCUAGAAGAUCCUAAUACCAGGGUCGGCUAUAAUAUUCGAAGAAGAGCUCUCGGCUAUUUUUUAUUGGAUGGUCAACUUUAUAAGAGAGUAGCCGAAGAGGUUCUAUUAAAGUGUUUAGGACCUGAAGAAGCUCUGUUGAUAAUGGGAGAAACACAUGAAGGAAUAUGUGGAACCCAUUUAGCCGAAAAAAAGUUAAGAUGGACAAUUCGACACUUAGGAUACUAUUGGCCAACAAUACAUCAAGAUUGUAUAGAAUAUGCCAAAGGUUGUCAGGAUUGUCAAUUUCAUGGCUCAAUCCAGAGGGUUCCGGCCUCUGAGAUGUAUGCAAUCAUCAAGCCAUGGCCUUUUCGAGGUUGGGCCAUGGAUUUAAUUGGAGAAAUUCAGCCGAACUCCUCGGCUGGUCACAAGUUUUUAAUAGUGACUGUCGAUUAUUUCACCAAGUGGGUAGAAACAAAACCCACUCGGUUGGUUACUCAAAAAGAGAUUAUUGAUUUUGUUGAAGAUUACAUAAUUCAUCGCUUUGGGAUUUUCGAGACAAUUACGACCUGUAGAAUGCAGCGGAAGUAUUCGUUCGUACCUUUUUGCGGAAACGAUUCGCGCUAGAAUGCGAUGAGCCCGGAUCGUAGAGGUUGGUUCACGUGUCCUUGGAUCGCCCUUGAAAGUCUUCUUGCGCUCCGAACUCGCGGUGGAUCGAACUACAAACGAGCACGAUCGCAAAUCCACCGUUCAAGUCCCUCUAGAAUAAUAGGUUAAUGGAGGAAGUGGAUUUUCUCUUUUUGUUUCUUAUUCUCUUUCUUUUUCCGUUCUUCCCGUACCUUUUGUUAUGUGGGAUCGACCGCAUAUUUAUAAGGGAUUCCAAAAUCCUAAUAGCGUUAGAGAUAAGGCCAAAUCAGUUAUUAAUUGUUAUCCUUAUAUGACUAGGAUUUAUCUCUAACUAACUUUCCUAUUUGAAAGCGAGAUUAAUUCCAAUCCAAUUAGAUAACAUAACAUCCGUCGGAUCGAACCCGCUUAUGGGCGUACCCGAUUUGAUUUAACCGAAUGCCAACAUCUCCCACUCGCACAUGACGGGAUCGAUGCCAUCGUAACCACUUCCUCAACAUCACACCACUAUUAAUUCUAUUCAUACAAGAAAAUGAACAGUGCAGCCGCCGAGUCAACCUGCAUUUUGGGAGCUCUAUACUAGAAACCCCAUUCGGCCAGCAUAGAGAUAUCAACCCUCAAAAAGAAAAAAAUAUUAGACUCGUGAUGCCCUAGACCAUUGAAUUACAUCAGGUUCAGCAUCUCUAAUCUCUCAAAGUGUCACGCCCCGGGGUCCCUUUAGGUUAAAAACACAGCGAAUUUUUUUUUUUUUUUUUUUUUUUUUUUUUUUUUUUUUUUUUUUGCAAACCUGACCCCAAGGUAUGCCAGAUCCGCCACAAAUAUAGGGAAUCCAUGUUCACACAGACAGAGUCUCCCCUGUAUUUGCACGGCGUCGCACAAGUACAAGAGUAUAGCCAGAAAACAACCACAACCAAAUGAAUAUAAAGAUAACUAUAUAUUCAUACAUUCACCAUUCACAUCACAGUUUUACAUUCAGUGUUUAAAUAGAAAUUCACGAAAAUUCUUUUGAAAACUGUUCCCUAUACGGAAACCUUUAUUCUUUAAGAAACGCUACCACGAGGGGUAGAAAAUCUUUUAUUUCAAGAAAACAUAAUUCCUUUAUUACAUUCCAAAACCAACUGAAAACUCAGAUAUUCAAAUAAUAAAACAAAACUGAACCAUGUAAACCGACUAAGCUAUAUAUCAACAGAAUAAUAAGGGUAAUAACUAAAUCGAAAUAACCUGGGUCGGAAGCAAUAUCGACCGCUACACACGUACCUCACGUCUCGUCCCACUACUCGUCGCCCGCGAUACCUGAAAAAUGGUGGGGGAGGUGAGAACAUGUAAACAUGUCUCCCCUCCCAGUGGGUACCGCAAACCGAAGAAGGCGAGGAGUACUCACCGGAUCAGGAAGAGAGCUAUACAACAACACGGAGAACUAGAUAGACAUAAGUACUGGUAAGUAAAGAUGCUGAUAAGUAAGGAGCUGACAAGUAUAGAUGCAGAUAAAUAAAACAGUAGCUACAAUAAACAGAUAAGGAUGUACUGAAAAUAAAUACCACAGCUACUGUAUGCAUGCGUCAACUGACGAUAAGCUCAAAAGUACCCAAUCUCGCUGCCCUAUUGGUCCGAAGACCUCAGGCCCAUGCCACACUGCUCAACCUGUACCUGACCCUCGCAAUGAAGCCCCUGGGUCAGAAGCACAGUACCUGACCCUCGCAAUGAAGCCCCUGGGUCAGAAGCAUAUACCCUCGCAAUAAAGCCCCUGGGCUCACGGGUUGGCAAUCCAACCACUUUUCCGGAAAAGAACACCCUCUUGCGGUGGAUCAGACCGCUGUUGUUUCGCUGAAGUUCGCUUCAUGCGCGCGCCCUCCACAGUGGCCGGGAUUGCUCCGAAAGGUGAGCACGGCCUCCGGCACGUCGAGACCUGUUAGUAGGUGUCUCGGUUUGGCGGCAUGACUCCUGGUUUGUGUAGACGGACCAUAAAAGCGCCGAAAUCGCAUGAAAUAAUGCGAUUUCGGGUAUUCGGAAGGGCUUUUAUGCAACUUUGUCCGUCGUGGCUGCUGUUGGCAGCAAGUAUGGGCUGAGGAUAACCUCCGGAUUGAUUGUCCAAGGCCCCGGACCUUUGCGAAGACCGGAAAUGCAUUUUCGGAGCGUUUUUUGGCGAAAUCCGCCGAUAGAACGCGUUUUCGAUUCGGAAUUCUUCCGACGGUACUUGGGGAUCAUUUGUUUCAUCGCUGAGCCUUGUUGGCUGGUCACCCGCAUCGUUUCGUAGGUUUGGAAACGACGGGUGAGCGACGGUGAAGUUCCGGUGCGGUUUUCCGGACUUUCAGUUUGUUCGGUAAUCGGUUUUGGGAAAUCAAUUCUCGUGGGUUUAUUUGUGGGGUUAUGCUUUUAGGGUUUCUUAGUUGUAGGUUAGACACUAACCCAGUGGACCCCCCCUUAGGUCCUGUUGACGUUCUUUUGCAGUCAGGAGACAGGCGCGACAGUUGUACAGGUGGGUACUUCGAUCCGACGUUGGUACAGUGGUGCACGCUCGGUGACGUUUCCUUUACCCUUGUUGUUUAUAUCUUUUACCAUAUAUAUGUUGAGCCUUGCACCCAUGCUGUUUCCUUAUUACUCUCUACAUAAUUGUUGCCAGGUGUAGUAUCAUGUGUAGGAGUAGAGUAGACUUUAUCUGUUUAUGAUAUUUAUGAUUUGGUUGGUCUGAUCUCCUAUGUGAUCUCCAUGACCUGGAUGGUCGACGUUGCAUCUCCUACACUUGUGACUUGGUUGGUAGUUUCUUGUACUUCGUAUCAGUGACCUGGUUGAGAUUUUUACACAAAGAGCCAUGCUAACCGCAAUUGCGCACAUUAUGACACUAUACUCAUGAUUGUUUCGCUAUGCUGAAGCGACACAACUUGUCGACAAUGAGUCAAAGUGUCUUAAUGUAAUUCAACUAGUCUUUCUUGAGCCCUCAUGCCACUGAGUUGAGAACUGAUUGCUUUCCCAGCAAUGCCUCGUAAAGUCGCAUCACUCAUUGCCGUAGGUAACAUGCCAAAGUAGCAACAUCAAUUCUUUCACUUAAUGACAUAGUCAAAAGUCACUAAGGGCAUCUAACAUAAAUAGGACAUCGUCUCAAAAUAAUGCCCGUAAGAACUUACACGAUGAGGAAGCAGGGAUCCAUUCACUCAUCUUCUUCAUUUAGUCGCCCAGCACAUGUAGUAUGAAAUACAUGCUAUGACAGAGAAUCCCAAUAAGCGUAUGUCUUUCUCAAUGUCAUACGGAUCUUAGCUCAGUCACUCCCGGAGUGUCUAGCCUGAGUUCUCCAUUUGCUCGCUAUCUCAAGCGUCAAACGGUGAGCUCACAUCCGGCUCUUAAUAUACAGGCCAUACGAAUCGUGGGACUAUUCAUAUACGGUCUCAUUAAUGACCUCAUCUUGGUGCCAACCAAGGCGGCUUUCAUUAAUGCCUCAAUUUUCACUCGCUCUCUACAGCGCCGAAAAGAAUGAUUGCCCGUGUGAGAGGGCCAAUCAGCCUGUGACAUACUAUCAAUCAGUUUAAUAAUAAUGCACGUGUACUAAUUUUACCAAAUAUCUUUUCCAGAAUAAUAAUUUGUAAUUAAAUAACCAAGAAAUUACAAAAAAAAAUCGACUGUCUACACAAUCAAAUCCUACGGAGUCCAAGAGCUUUAACAUGAGCCCAAAAAUAAUUCUCUAACAACAGGCUUAGUUAGAGAAUCUACAACCACGCGACUCGUAGAUAUGUGUUCCAGGAUUAUUUUCUUCUGCGCCACUGCCUUCGAGUGGUCCAAUCCCAGAUUGGACUGAAAAUGGCUAACCAAGCCCACGGCAUAGCAUAUAUCAGGCCGAGUACACAUCAUAGCAUACAUCAGGCUCCCGACCGCAUUAGCAUAUGGAAUCCGAUUCAUCUUGUCCUUCUCUUCAGAAGUUUUAGGGCACUGUUUAAGGUUCAAACUCUCACCUUUAGCAAUAGGAGUGUCAAUGGGUUUGCAAUUUUGCAUCUGAAAUCGUUCUAAAACUUUUCUUAGGUAAGUCUCUUGAGACAGACCUAAAAGUUUCUUUGAACGAUCUCGUAGGAUCUUAACUCCGAGCACAUAAUUCGCUUCACCCAUGUCCUUCAUUUCAAAAUUAGAGGACAGCCACGUCUGAGUGGCGACAAUCAUCUCCUUAUUAUUCCCGGCCAAUAAGAUGUCAUCCACAUAUAAAGAAAGGAUAAGAAAAAAUUCUUUGGACCGUUUAACAUACACACAGUGAUCUUCUUCAAUCAUCGUAAACCCAUCUUCAGUGAUGGCUCGAUGAAAUCGAAUAUACCACUGUCUGGAGGACUGCUUCAAUCCAUAAAUGGAUCGUCGGAGCUUACAAACUUUAUGCUCCUCACCCUUUACAGAGAAGCCAGUAGGCUGAUCCAUAUAGAUCUCCUCAUCCAGUUCUCCAUUGAGAAAUGCAGUUUUAACGUCCAUUUGGUAAAGAUCCAAAUCCAAAUAUGUGACAAUGGCCAAGAUCAGACGGAUCGAAGCAAACCUUACAACAGGAGAAAAAGUUUCUUCGUAAUCAACGCCUUCUCGUUGGGUAAAACCCUUUGCUACUAGGCGAGCCUUGUACCUAUCGAUAGAACCGUCUGCCUUGCGCUUAAUCUUGAGAACCCAUUUAUUCCCAAUUGUUUUGCGCCCUUGUGGCAAGUCAACCAAGUCCCAGACAUGAUUUGACUUCAUCGAUUCUAUUUCCUCCAUCAUUGCAUCCAUCCAUUCCUUAUGAGUAGGUAAUGAGAGAGCCUCUUGGAAGGAUCUAGGCUCAUCAUCAUCAUGUGCAGCAACCAUGAAAGCUUCCCCCUCAAUCUCAAAACGACGACGGGGAAUGCCUACACGUGCGCUCCUACGAAGUUGAGGCUCCACAUCUAAAGGUAAGUCGCUCCCACUAUCCCCAGGAGGUAUCGGAGUCGCCUCCUCUGCCUCAACUGAGCGAAUAGAAGCGCCAAUGUCAGAGUCAUCCAUCUCAUGGAACUCAGUUUCAUUUCGAACCUCACUUCUAUAAGGAAAAUCCUCCUCGAGGAAUUCAACAUCUCGUGACUCAAUCUCAGUCAAACUUCCAUCAGGCUGCUUUCCGAUGAACACGUAUCCCUUAGAGUGUUCAGAGUAUCUUAUAAAGAUACACUUUCUCCCUCUAGGACCCAACUUCCCAUCCUUGUGAGAAGUAUUGUGUACAUAAGCUGCCGAACCCCAAGGACGCAGGAGCUCCAAAUUUGGUUUCCUGCCUGUCCAUAAUUCAUAAGGGGUGGAAGGUACUGUUUUGGAGGGUACACGAUUAAGAAUGUAGGCAGCAGUUAACAAUGCGUCUCCCCAAAAGGAGACAGGCAAAUUUGCUUGCGCCAUCAUUGACCUAACCAUGUCAAGCAAGGUGCGAUUUCUUCUCUCCGCUACACCAUUUUGCUGCGGAGUGCCAGGAAUUGUCAGCUGUCUGAUUAUUCCCUUUUCAUCACACAAUUUCUUAAAUUGUUCAGAUAGAUACUCGCGGCCUCGAUCAGUUCUUAAGCAUUUAAUUUUCAUAUCUAACUGAUUCUCAACCUCAUUAAUAUAACGUCUAAAACAAUCCAAUGCUUCAGACUUAUGGGAGAUCAGAUAAACAUGACCGAAGCGCGUAUGGUCAUCUAUAAAUGUGAUGAAGUAAAAAGCACCAUGUCUUGCCCUCACACUCAUUGGGCCACAAAUGUCGGAAUGGAUUAAUUGUAAAGGAAAUUCUGCCCUUGAAGCUUUAUUAAAUGGUUUUCGGGUCGCUUUUCCCGCUAAACAAUGUUCACAAGUGGGUAGGUCGACUUUAGUGAGCGAGCUCAAUAACCCGUCUCUAACUAAUCUAGUCAUUCUAUCCUGCCCAAUAUGACCAAGACGUGCAUGCCAUUUAAUUGAAACAUUGUGAUCAUUCUCAACAGAAGAUAGCAGGGAAAAAGAAUCACUAUUAUUAAUAUUAUAAUCAAUGUCCAAAACCAUAAAACCAUUCGACAUAAAACCUCUUCCAUAAUAAAUAGUUCCAAGAUGAAUCUUAACUACAUCACUCUCAAAACGAAAAGAAAAGCCUAACUGUAGCAUAGCAAGAAUAGAAAACAAGUUCCGCCGAAUUCCUGGAGCAUAAAGUACAUCAUGUAGAUAUAAAGUUCGACCACCUUGCAUGAUCAACUUGUAUGUGCCAAUGCCUAACACAUCGACACUUGAAUCGUUCCCCAUGUAUACCCUUCUGCUCCGAGCAGGCACACGACGGUACUCAACAAAUCCCAUCCGAUCCCUCGCUACGUGGUCUGUUGCUCCUGAGUCUACAAUCCACACAAGGAGAGAUUCAGCAACAAACGUAUUAGAAGAAACAAAAGAGCGAGAAUCGGGAUAGAGAUGUACCUUCUUCGGCUCAGUGCAAUCACGAGCGAAGUGUCCCAGCUGAUUACAGUUGAAACAAGUCAUCUUUGACUUGUCCUUCUUGCCACCUCGUUUGCUUCUCUUUCUUUUAGUGCUCUUCGCGUUCUUAGGCGCGGAUCCGCUACGAUUUUGAGCCCCAGUAGUCCUCUUUCGCUUGAACCCAGAUGUCCUGCGAAAGUUUGACUCAGCAGCAUUGGCAGUUGGAGUUUUAACAGCCUCAAGGCGCUCCUUCUCCAACUCCAAAUGCCACGCAACAUCCUCAAAAGUUUUAAUAUUGUCAUUAUGGGUCAAAUUUACUCGCAUAUGUUCCCACGAAUUGGGAAGGGAACGAAUCAUAGCUUGGAUCUGCUGCUCAUCAGUCAAGGUGUCGCCAGCCGACUUUAACUCGCGAAUCAUGUUUGACAUUGUUCUAACGUGCUGUUUUAUAGUCUGAUCGGCACGCUUCUUAUAACUGUCAAACCUCAUAGUCAGACUGCGCAACCUUGUAGCCGAAGUUGCAUCAAACUUUGCUUUGAGAGCCUCCCACAUGUCAUACGCAGUCGGAUACUGCUCACACUUGCACAAGAGAUCAUUCUGCAUACUGCUCAGCAACGUGAUGCGAGCAAUGCGAUCCUUUUUGAGCCAAUUAUUAUAAGCUUCCAUAUCUCGGCGAGCCUGGGCACUGGUGCCCUUUGCGGGUAGGUCCAUUUUAUUACUCAGGUUUUCCAGAACCUCUUGCUCAGCGAGAACAUAUUGAAUUUUACGGUGCCAAAUAUCAUAAUUGUCACCAUCUAAUUUCUCGCCCUGGUUUAAAUCCGCAACAAUUUGCUUGGAGGCCAUUCAAUUUCACUAUGUUCAUGCAAUGCGCAGAAAAGGAUAUUUUAAAAUUAGUACACGAUACAUAUAUUCAAUUUUGCCGCAUCUCCUAAAUUAAAAAUUAGACCAUAGAUGCGUAAAGAAAAAUUUUGCUAUGCUCGUAAUCACAUCACACACCAUAUGUCAUAAUUUUUAAUUUAUUUAAUUAAGAUGCACAAAAAAUUGGGAGUAAAAAGCAUAUAAUUUACUCUACCAAAGUCAAAAAGACUCCCACUAGAUAAGGCAUGCAUAAAAUAUAUAUGCCUAAAGUUACAUUUAUAUAUACAUCAUAAAAGGCAUUAUCACAUUUUAAAUGCAUCUUAAUUAAAUAAAUUAAAUAUUGUGACAUAUGGUGUGUGAUGUGAUUACGAGCAUAGCAAAAUUUUUCUUUACGCAUCUAUGGUCUAAUUUUUAAUUUAGGAGAUGCGGCAAAAUUGAAUAUAUGUAUCGUGUACUAAUUUUAAAAUAUCCUUUUCUGCGCAUUGCAUGAACAUAGUGAAAUUGAAUGGCCUCCAAGCAAAUUGUUGCGGAUUUAAACCAGGGCGAGAAAUUAGAUGGUGACAAUUAUGAUAUUUGGCACCGUAAAAUUCAAUAUGUUCUCGCUGAGCAAGAGGUUCUGGAAAACCUGAGUAAUAAAAUGGACCUACCCGCAAAGGGCACCAGUGCCCAGGCUCGCCGAGAUAUGGAAGCUUAUAAUAAUUGGCUCAAAAAGGAUCGCAUUGCUCGCAUCACGUUGCUGAGCAGUAUGCAGAAUGAUCUCUUGUGCAAGUGUGAGCAGUAUCCGACUGCGUAUGACAUGUGGGAGGCUCUCAAAGCAAAGUUUGAUGCAACUUNCGUGCGGCCCAAGCGUCCGCGUGGCCCGCGUGGCCUGCUCGGCAUGCGCGGCCCGCAUGGCCUCGUAGCCCGCGGCCUGUUGGGUGUAGCCCGCAAGGGUCGUGCGGCCCGCGACCUGCACGCGGUUUGCGUGGCCGACACUGCCGGCGGCCUACGCGCUGCUGCGACGCCGGUACAGUAAUAAUUUUUACUAACCUAUGAUUAGAAAUCCAAAUCAUGCAAGGAAUAUAUCAAUAGAAAGCUUAUGAGAAGCUCUUCUAAAUCAUGCAAUUUUCACAAUGGGAUAUACAUCAAACAAGCCACCCCCAAAGUUUCGAUUUAGGGUUUCAUUUUUUUCAUAAAAUACAAAACCAAAACAAAUCAAACUUUGUAGAUCUAAUCUAUAAGAUAGGUGCUUUAAGAUGUGUAGCAAUCAAGCAAAAAAAUCCACUUCUGAAAAAAACCGCCAUUAACGCUCACAUACAUGCAAGAAAAAAUCUAAAACAUGAUAGAUCUUGUUAUAUUGCAUGUAAUCUCGUUAAAAGAUGUAUCAAGACCACGAAAUCAACGAAAAAAGGCUCUGAUACCAAUGUAGAACGCAGCGGAAGUAUUCGUUCGUAUCUUUUUGUGGAAGCGAUUCGCGCUACAAUGCGAUGAGCCCGGAUCGUAGAGGUUGGUUCACGUGUCCUUGGAUCGUCCUUGAAAGUCUUCUUGCGCUCCGAACUCGCGGUGGAUCGAACUACAAACGAGCACGAUCGCAAAUCCACCGUUCAAGUCCCUCUAGAAUAAUAGGUUAAUGGAAGAAGUGGAUUUUUUCUUAUUGUUUCUUAUUCUCUUUCUUUUUCCGUUCUUCCCGUACUUUUUGUUAUAUGGGAUCGAUCGUAUAUUUAUAAGGGAUUCCAAAAUCCUAAUAGCGUUAGAGAUAAGGCCAAAUCAGUUAUUAAUUGUUAUCCUAAUAUGACUAGGAUUUAUCUCUAACUAACUUUCCUAUUUGAAAGCGAGAUUAAUUCCAAUCCAAUUAGAUAACAUAACAUCCGUCGGAUCGAACCCGCUUAUGGGCGCACCCGAUUCGAUUUAACCAAAUGCCAACACGACCGAUCAAGGGACAAUGUUCACAGGAGGACAGUUCGUUUGGUUCAUCGAGUCUCGAAAGAUAAAAUUGCUUCAUUCGUCUCCUUAUUAUGCACAAGCGAAUGGACAAGUAGAAGCAGCAAAUAAAAUAGUCAUUAAUCUUAUGAAACGGCAUAUCGGAAAGCAUCCGAGAAAUGAAAUGAAAAACUUUC